UGUAAUUGUAGCAUAUAGGUCCUUUCCCUUGGUGUGAUAGCCAUGCACUGAACUGCAGCUGUGGCUGGGUAUUUAUUGGCCUAAGCACCUACAAAGACUUAGAAUUUAAAGAUUUAAAGAAGCAUGAGGACAUGAGGUUUCCCCAGACUGCAGAAGACUGUAAGAUGAAGAAGAAGAUGCCGAAGUACAGGUUGAUGACGUCAGAGCCCUUCUUGCCCUCGUUGGCAGCCUGGAUGUUCCCAGAGAUGGUCAGAAUAUUACCCCAGAAGAGUCAUCAUCCCAGCAUUAGAGCAGGUAUCCAAACUGCAGCUUUGCAAAACAGCAUCCCAGUCAACAUCCCAGUCCAGUGGUCUAAAUUCUGUUUCAGGUGCUACUCUGAUUUGGUAACGCACCAACUCUUAACUACAAUUUGUGAAUUAUGGCA
This is a long non-coding RNA of Myripristis murdjan (pinecone soldierfish), 424 nucleotides long. RefSeq lists it as uncharacterized. Lineage: Eukaryota; Metazoa; Chordata; Actinopteri; Holocentriformes; Holocentridae. The transcript has 3 exons. The record is from RefSeq and is a predicted model, not a curated record.